Molecule: ribosomal RNA, 497 nt
Filed under: uncultured bacterium
Lineage: Bacteria
Description: partial 16S ribosomal RNA
Rfam family: Bacterial small subunit ribosomal RNA
Source: RNAcentral
GAUGAACGCUGGCGGCGUGCCUAAUACAUGCAAGUCGAGCGAACAGACGAGGAGCUUGCUCCUCUGACGUUAGCGGCGGACGGGUGAGUAACACGUGGAUAACCUACCUAUAAGACUGGGAUAACUUCGGGAAACCGGAGCUAAUACCGGAUAAUAUAUUGAACCGCAUGGUUCAAUAGUGAAAGACGGUUUUGCUGUCACUUAUAGAUGGAUCCGCGCCGUAUUAGCUAGUUGGUAAAGUAACGGCUUACCAAGGCAACGAUGCGUAGCCGACCUGAGAGGGUGAUCGGCCACACUGGAACUGAGACACGGUCCAGACUCCUACGGGAGGCAGCAGUAGGGAAUCUUCCGCAAUGGGCGAAAGCCUGACGGAGCAACGCCGCGUGAGUGAUGAAGGUCUUCGGAUCGUAAAACUCUGUUAUUAGGGAAGAACAAAUGUGUAAGUAACUAUGCACGUCUUGACGGUACCUAAUCAGAAAGCCACGGCUAACUACGUG